CGCAUCUGUGCAUGCAGCAUAUCAAUAAGCGGAGGAAAAGAAACUAACAAGGAUUCCCCUAGUAACGGCGAGUGAAGCGGGAAGAGCUCAAAUUUGAAGUCUUAAAGGGUUUCCCUUUACGAAUCGUAGUUUAAAGAAGUGUUUUCUGUUGAGGUUUUGGUAAAAGUUCUUUGGAAUAGGACAUCAUAGAGGGUGAGAAUCCCGUAUUUGACCUUUACUUUCAACUUUGUGAUACACUUUCAAAGAGUCGGAUUGUUUGGGAAUGCAGUCCAAAAUGGGUGGUAAAUUUCAUCUAAAGCUAAAUAUUGGCGAGAGACCGAUAGCGAACAAGUACCGUGAGGGAAAGAUGAAAAGAACUUUGAAAAGAGAGUUAAACAGUACGUGAAAUUGUCAAAAGGGAAGCGUUUGACACCAGUGUUGUUUUUCUGAAAAUCAAUUAAAGAACUGUUUAUGCUAAGUUGUUUAGACUUUAUCAGUUAACUGUUUAGUUUUGAGCUUUUCUUUAAUGCACUUUUCAGUUAACAAGUCAACAUCAAUUUCUUUUGCUGUAAAAAAGCUCGAGGAAGGUGGCUUGAGAUUCGUCUUAAGUGUUUAUAGCCUCUUGCCUAUGCAGUCGGAGAGAUUGAGGUCUGCAGCGUAGAUCCUUCGGGGCUAAAUGCAUUUGUGCUAAGUUAUAACAUUUCAUAGACAACUUGUUGACUAUGAUUUGUCUUGUAGCUUACUCGCUUAUGUUAUUUUACCUACGCUUAGGAUGUUGACAGCAGUAUAGACUGU
This 774-nucleotide ribosomal RNA is filed under the name uncultured Neocallimastigales. RNAcentral describes it as "partial large subunit ribosomal RNA". It matches the Rfam family "Eukaryotic large subunit ribosomal RNA", at positions 26 to 637 of the family's 3401-position model. The record is from RNAcentral. Lineage: Eukaryota; Fungi; Neocallimastigomycota; Neocallimastigomycetes; Neocallimastigales.